CCUUCCAAACAGUAAAAACAAACAAACAAACUGUAGACCAAAUUUGUCAUUGUUGUUUCGAUUUGCUCUUUUUGUUUGUUUGCUUUUGUGUUUUGAGACAGGGUCUGGCUUGUAUAGCUCAUGC
This 124-nucleotide microRNA precursor is filed under the name Mus spretus (western wild mouse). RNAcentral's name for it is "microRNA 1192 (ENSMSPG00010018618.1)". Lineage: Eukaryota; Metazoa; Chordata; Mammalia; Rodentia; Muridae. The record is from RNAcentral.